Long non-coding RNA from Pseudopipra pipra, 722 nucleotides. RefSeq lists it as uncharacterized. Lineage: Eukaryota; Metazoa; Chordata; Aves; Passeriformes; Pipridae. The transcript has 3 exons. The record is from RefSeq and is a predicted model, not a curated record.
GGCUGCCUCUUUUCCUUCGGUCGCUGUGGACACUGUGCCGGACGCCUCUGGCAGGACUAACCCUGGGGCUUUUAUGUCCAGCGUGCUGUGCUGUGUGCCUGCAGCAUCCUGUACAAGACAAAGCUACCUUUCUUUCCUCGUGGGAAUGGACUGGCCGGGCUUUGGCAAUCUGGCCCCUCGAAAGACUAAAGUGACUUCUUCCAGCAGGGGAAGACUGAAGCAAGGGGUGCCAGGAAGAACUGGAGUCUCUGGAGAAUGAAAGCUGGAAGCGUGCCCCCGAAAAUCCCCAGCCCCGCGUGGUCAGUGGUCUGACUUGCACGGACCGGUGGCCUUGGCCAGGAGCGGUCCUGUGGGAAGCGCCUUUGCCCAGGCUGUAAUUUUAAUUUCCCUUGGAUGCUUGGCAAAGCCCCUCUGGGGGAGCCCCGGUGCCUGGCAGGAGCAGAGCGGGCUUCCAGGGAGGCAUUCACCCGGUCAGCGUCAGGAACCAUCCUAACUGAGGCCUCGGCUCCCUCUUUCCCUUCGGUCGCCGUGGGUGUGCCGGACGCCUCUGGCAGGACUAACCCCGGGGCUUUUAUGUCCAACGUGCUGUAUGCCUGCAGGUAAGAAAAGCUGGGAGUGCGGUCCCUCUGCUUUGAUUACUGUGUCUCUUUGGUAGUGAUUUUGGAGGGGAAUCCCAGAGCGAUUUGGUUUGAAGGGGACCUUCAAAGGCCACCCUGUCUUCC